GCUUGAGUGGCUCAGUUGGUUAGAGCGUCGGUCUCAUAGUCUAUAUGAGUAGGCAGUGCCUGCGCAAUCCGAAGAUCAUGGGUUCGAUUCCCCUCUCGAGCA
Molecule: non-coding RNA, 102 nt
Organism: Irpex rosettiformis
Lineage: Eukaryota; Fungi; Basidiomycota; Agaricomycetes; Polyporales; Irpicaceae
Source: the annotation of a GenBank genome assembly